UGAGGAAUAUUGGUCAAUGGACGAGAGUCUGAACCAGCCAAGUAGCGUGCAGGAUGACGGCCCUCCGGGUUGUAAACUGCUUUUAGUUGGGAAUAAAAAAGAUGACGUGUCAUCUAUUGUAUGUACCAUCAGAAAAAGGACCGGCUAAUUCCGUGCCAGCAGCCGCGGUAAUACGGAAGGUCCAGGCGUUAUCCGGAUUUAUUGGGUUUAAAGGGAGCGUAGGCGGAGAGAUAAGUCAGCGGUAAAAAUCGUGCGGCUCAACCGUACCUCGCCGUUGAUACUGUUUUUCUUGAGUGCACACAGGGAUGCUGGAAUUCGUCGUGUAGCGGUGAAAUGCAUAGAUAUCACGCAGAACCCCGAUCGCGAAGGCAGCCUGCCAGGCCGUGACUGACACUGAUGCACGAAAGCGUGGGUAUCGAACAGGAUUAGAUACCCUGGUAGU
Molecule: ribosomal RNA, 442 nt
Filed under: uncultured Prevotellaceae bacterium
Lineage: Bacteria; Pseudomonadati; Bacteroidota; Bacteroidia; Bacteroidales; Prevotellaceae
Description: bacterial SSU rRNA
Rfam family: Bacterial small subunit ribosomal RNA
Source: RNAcentral